UUACCUUUUAAACUAUUAAACCCCAAUACGCCAUAUCUCCUUCAAUCACAAUAGGUUUGCCAGAUUGAAAGUGAAAACCCUAAAUCCCCAAAUUUUCACCAGUUUGUUCUAAAUCAUCAAAUUCAUCCAUCAAUUCACCAAUAUUUCGAUCAUGUCGUCGGAAAGAUGCAAAUCCGGUCGAUCGUCACGCAUCUCCGACGAGAAUCACCGGCGAGAUUCACAUCUCUGAGGCGAAUCACUGUCACACACUCACUCACACGCAGCUAUAAUGUACUCAACGAAGCUCCAUCUGCCGGAAAAAUCCACCGCUCUAAUUGUCUUCGCAUAACCGUUCUGGUACAGUCCAUCAAAACUCAAUAGCUUGAUGGAGAUUGUUAAUUGUUCCGGUACAGUCGAUCAAAACCUAAAAGCUUGAUGGAGAUUGUUAUGAGUUCAAGUGAGAAGGUAUAAGGCUGACAAGUAUGACCGAUUAUGGAAGGCAAUUAGUUGGCCUCGUUAUAGGGAUCGGUUGUCUACAGCUUGCACUUCGAAAAUGAGUCUUGGUUUGGUAAACAAGAACGCGAUGAAAAAUACUUUUUAACUAUUUUUUUCUAUCAUAACUCAAAACUUAACCUUUCUUGUGGUUUUUGCAGUGCCUUAUUCCACAGAAUACGGUGCAGUGUAUUAAAAUUUAAAACACCAAAUUUCUUGAUUAAUGCAGCCUAUGAUUCAUGGCACGUUAGACAAACCUCAAUAUGAGCAGCAAUAAUAUAAUAGAAUAAUAUUUGAUUUAAUUAUGAUUUAGAUAAUCAGCUUACAGGUAAAGACUAUAUUGGCCCAGGAGUUACUGAUCGACAACGCACAUGCCGCAAAUGCAACAAAGUGCUCAACGGCUCAACUCAAUGUCCUGUAAGGGUUCAAACAAGAGUUCUUCCGGGUGCUGACUGGAUUCAGCAACCCUCCUUCAAGAGGCUUGAUUGAUCAUUUGAUUCAUUUUUUGUUUCCUAACAUUACAAUUUCGUUGUAGGAAGUACCUGGGAGUCAUGUUGACCAGAAAGGAUCCAUUGUUCUUCCAGAAAAGUUACGGUUUGACUUCUCCCAUGGGAAACCCGUAAAGCCCGAUGACCUUCGUAGAAUUGAAUCAAUCAUGAAUGAACAAAUUAAAGCUGAGCUGGAGGUUUCAGCGAAGAAGGCAAGCCUUGCUGAUGCGAAAAGAGUAAAUGGUUUGCGCACUGUUUUUGGUGAAGUGUACCCUGAUCCCGUUAGGAUUGUUGCUAUCGUUCGAAAAGUGGACGAUUUAUUGGCUGAUCCUGAAAAUGAAGAAUGGUCGUCCAUAUCUGCAGAACUCUAUUUCAAACACACGCGAGGCAAAAGCGGUUGCUCUUUUGUCUGAGGAGGGAAUUGCUAAGGGAUUAGGAGAAUUAUCACUAUAACAACAAACUAUGCUUUUGAAGUUAUUAAAAAGGCGUCUGAGCUUGAACUGGAAGUUGAUCUGGCAUCUAAGAUGGAAGGAAGCUUUCUUGAACAGUGUAGAAGAAAAUUGUAGAGAAGCUGUAUAAAGCCAAGCUGGUUGUGGAGAGGCAUAAAGCCAAGUCGGUUUUUGAUUUAAGACACAUUUUAAACUAGUGACCAGUUUACUUUAAGUAUGCAAUUUGAGGUAAGUCUGUAUCUAAUCCCUUGAAAGAUAAACAAGCGUAAAAGAAGACGAGAGAAAUUGGUGCGAUUGAAGGUAACUCUGUAUCUAAUAAACUCGAUUACAGGUAAUUGAUAUUUUGCUAUAUCUUGACUUUCAUGGGUCUCCUCUUUUGUAGCUGCACGAUUUGUAAAUAGUUGAUUCUUUGGCCUAAGUUGAUUAGAUCUAAAUAGUAAUACCAUGGCGAAACGCAGGCUACAUUUACUAGUUUAGCUAUAAUUUAGGCUUGAUUUGGGUUUUGGUAUGGUAUUUUCUUAUAUGGGCAUGUCUUCUCUGCUAUUGUCUUUAUAUUGAUUUAUGUUUUGUUUAUCGAUUUAGGUACAACCGUAAGAAGCUAACUUAUGAAGAGAGGAAGUAAAAGCUUAUCGAGAGGUUGAAUGCAUUAAAUGAUGAUAACGAUUUUGACGUAGAUUGAUGAUUUUUGAAGUUUGUUAAAUUUUUGUUAGUUUGUGGCUAAACAUAUAUAUAUAUAUAUUUUUUUGAAAAGAAAA
Helianthus annuus (common sunflower) is the source of this 2163-nucleotide RNA transcript. It is a transcript of the gene named alanine--tRNA ligase-like, with no coding region annotated. The record is from RefSeq and is a predicted model, not a curated record. The transcript has 5 exons. Lineage: Eukaryota; Viridiplantae; Streptophyta; Magnoliopsida; Asterales; Asteraceae.